Molecule: unclassified non-coding RNA, 1479 nt
Filed under: Hevea brasiliensis (rubber tree)
Lineage: Eukaryota; Viridiplantae; Streptophyta; Magnoliopsida; Malpighiales; Euphorbiaceae
Source: RNAcentral
GUAAAAAAAUAGGGUAAACACUUGUCAAUAUUGUGUAAACCUAUUUCAAAAUUAAGCUUUAUAAUAUUUAUUUAUUAUAUAGAAAUCCUCCAUAUUUUUAAUGAAAUUCAAAAUAUAAGUAAUUUUCAACUUAAUAAUAAAUUUUCUUCCCAUUGAUUUCUUCACUCUGUACAAAACAGAGAAGAUGGCAUAGAAAGAAAAUAAAUUCCUUUCUGCAAUUCUCUUCCCCUAUUCAAAUAAGGAAAAAUUCCCAUUUUACUUCAAUCCAAGCAUGGUUUUUUUGUUUAAUGAGGAUCCCACGCCACGGCUGGCUUUUUUGAUUUGCAUGUAAUUCCCAUUAAUUUAAUUAGGCAGAGUUGGUGUUGACUGUCCCCUACUGUUGUUAUGGAAAGGAAGACUCGCCAAUGAAUAUAGGGUAAAAUUCAUUUAACUCUACAACAUAUAGCAUGCACGUGAAUUUUCCUAUUCUAACAAAGCACGGGACUUUGCUUGUUAGCUACAAAUUCCAUCAUAAUCAUAUUCAUUCUCACUCACCAAUCCAAUAACAAACAUGUCCCCAUCUCAUUCUUUCUUCCUUCUCUCCUCCCUCUUGCUUCUUUUCUCAAUCCUCCAUACUCCCCCUGAUGCUGCUUCCUCUCCCACUAAACUAGUGGACAAGAUCUGCAAGCGAACUUCAAAUUACACCUUCUGCGUGGAGUCUCUUUACUCAGACUCACGCACCUCAGAAGCUGAUCAAUACACACUGGCCUUUAUUGCAGUCAGAUUAGCAUACGUGAAUGCCAACACCACCCGAGAUCACAUUUCUCAACUGCUCCAAUACCGGAAACCUCUCGAAAUAUGCAUCCGCGGCUACCAAUUGGCUGUUUCCGCUCUUGAAAAGGCUUAUAACGACUUGAACUCGGAGACCUUCUUCGAGUUGGCUGAUUUGGCGAGCCAAGCUGCUGCCGGUGCCGAUGAUUGCGAGGCUGUUUUCCAAGGAAACCGGUCCCGACCAUUGGGAAACAGGAAUAAGGAUUUAAAGGGUCUGUGCGAAAUCUGUGGAAUCAUUGGUAAAUUAUUUACUGGACUUUAAUCUGCGAUUGUUCCACAUAUUCUUGUUAAUGGAUUCUACAUAUUCUUGUUAAUGGAUUCUUGUAAUAUUGUUGAAUCUCUUGUGUUCCAUGGCCAAGCUAAGGUAUUUGCUCGGCCUUCAUUAUCAGUAUCACAGAAAUCAAUCUGUGGAUAGAAAAGUUUCAUUAGGUUUACAACUGGAAGACUUUGGAUGAAUCAUCAAGGCCAAACCAUGUGGACCCAAUAGCUUGUGUCCUGACAAAUUAACAGUAUGCUUUAACGUGAUUCAACAGUUCUAUUUUAACGUCACAUGAACAUGAUAAGAGAAAUAUGGUCCAUUCUAUUUCUAUAGGCCCAAGCUAAUCAAAAUACAUUGGAGUUGGGCCCAAUCCAAAAUUUUUUUGUCCAAUUAUAGAAUAUUGUUGUCCA